AAGACAAAUAAAUAAUUUCAUCAAUGGCUACUUUACAACAUGGAGGAAGAAAACUGGACCAGAAAGUGGCGAUAAUCACAGGUGCUAGUUCAGGGAUAGGUAGAGCCACUGCUGUGUUGUUCUCACGCCUCGG
Molecule: long non-coding RNA, 133 nt
Filed under: Limulus polyphemus (Atlantic horseshoe crab)
Lineage: Eukaryota; Metazoa; Arthropoda; Merostomata; Xiphosura; Limulidae
Description: uncharacterized LOC111083347, transcript variant X1
Source: RNAcentral